UAGAAUGUUCCUCAUGGUUGGGGCUCUUGAAGUUCAAAUUUUGCAUAACUGCAUUUCUCUCUCUCUCUCUCUCUCUCUCUAUGUGGGUAUAUGUGGUUUCUCUCUCUCUCUCUCACUGUGAGUGGUUGAGUAUGAUGUGUGCAUGCACACCUGCAUGUGUGUGCAUGCACACCUGCAUGUGUGUGCAUGCAUGUGUAUUCUACUGCCCCUCUUUGGCAGAAUGGCUUGAGCAUUGCAUGAGGAUUCACCUUUCUAAGUUUAGAUUGUGG
RNAcentral lists this long non-coding RNA (269 nucleotides) under Amborella trichopoda. RNAcentral's name for it is "long non-coding RNA (ATRI_LNC004964)". The record is from RNAcentral. Lineage: Eukaryota; Viridiplantae; Streptophyta; Magnoliopsida; Amborellales; Amborellaceae.